CAAAGAGAACAACGAGGAACUAUCACAGUCUGAAAUGUUUAUUACAACUCGUACAAAGAAAGGGAAGGAAGUUCAUACGGAUACUCAAGUUGCAAUAUCUGAACUUCUGAAUCGCCAAAGUUCUGGAGAAACAGCAGAUGAUGCAUUUACGGCUGUAUUUGGAAAGGAGCAACCUGGUCGGGUUAGAUGCUAUGGUAGAUCGGUGACGACAAGCUCUCUAAAAAAAAGAUGAAGAAAUUACCAAGCUUAAACAAAAGCAUGCCAACGAAAUAACUUCUCUGAAGGAAGAAAUAAAGGAAAUUAUGAGGGAAGAAAUGCGAUGUUUUUUUAGUCAAAUGGUGAAAAACAACCCUGGACUAGAUUUUCAUGAUAUACAAGGGCGUGUUGGAUCUAAUAUUCCUUCACCGGUUGAUGCAAGUAGUGCACGAGCUAUGAGAGGCAAAAAUCUACAACAUUCUUCUGGCUCAACUCAUGCCCCGAAUAUUGAAAAGGAAAAUACAGGUGAUGCAAUUGGAAAUGGUGGCCACAAAUCAAUUUGAAUCAUUAAAGUGAAUGGUGAAGACCUUUUGAACAAGAUGUUUAUUUUUGUUGACACUAAAUAUGAGUACAUUUGGUUUUGUAGAGGUCUUUGCUAGUGAACUUCUUGAACCAACAUUGCUUUA
Molecule: long non-coding RNA, 662 nt
Organism: Nicotiana attenuata
Lineage: Eukaryota; Viridiplantae; Streptophyta; Magnoliopsida; Solanales; Solanaceae
Exons: 3
Source: RefSeq, a predicted model, not a curated record